This 761-nucleotide ribosomal RNA is filed under the name uncultured bacterium. Its description in RNAcentral is "bacterial SSU rRNA". It matches the Rfam family "Bacterial small subunit ribosomal RNA", at positions 771 to 1532 of the family's 1533-position model. The record is from RNAcentral.
AACAGGAUUAGAUACCCUGGUAGUCCACGCUGUAAACGAUGUCGAUUUGGAGGUUGUGCCCUUGAGGCGUGGCUUCCGGAGCUAACGCGUUAAAUCGACCGCCUGGGGAGUACGGCCGCAAGGUUAAAACUCAAAUGAAUUGACGGGGGCCCGCACAAGCGGUGGAGCAUGUGGUUUAAUUCGAUGCAACGCGAAGAACCUUACCUACUCUUGACAUCCAGAGAACUUUCCAGAGAUGGAUUGGUGCCUUCGGGAACUCUGAGACAGGUGCUGCAUGGCUGUCGUCAGCUCGUGUUGUGAAAUGUUGGGUUAAGUCCCGCAACGAGCGCAACCCUUAUCCUUUGUUGCCAGCGGUUCGGCCGGGAACUCAAAGGAGACUGCCAGUGAUAAACUGGAGGAAGGUGGGGAUGACGUCAAGUCAUCAUGGCCCUUACGAGUAGGGCUACACACGUGCUACAAUGGCGUAUACAAAGAGAAGCGACCUCGCGAGAGCAAGCGGACCUCAUAAAGUACGUCGUAGUCCGGAUUGGAGUCUGCAACUCGACUCCAUGAAGUCGGAAUCGCUAGUAAUCGUAGAUCAGAAUGCUACGGUGAAUACGUUCCCGGGCCUUGUACACACCGCCCGUCACACCAUGGGAGUGGGUUGCAAAAGAAGUAGGUAGCUUAACCUUCGGGAGGGCGCUUACCACUUUGUGAUUCAUGACUGGGGUGAAGUCGCAACAAGGUAACCGUAGGGGAACCUGCGGCUGGAUCACCUCCUU